CAAAUUCCAUCUGUUUUGGGGUUAACUCACUACGCAGUAACGAAAGAACACUUGAGAACUUGUCAACUUUGGAAGCUGAAACUUAGUUGAAGUAUAGGGCCUGAAGAGUGGAUGAUCUAAAAAAAGGUUUAACAGAGAAGAGAAGAACCGUGGAAAGCGUAUCAAUGAUAUAGUGGGAUCCCAAUAUAGCGGAUGUAGAUCUAAACUGAAAUUCCUCAACUACUAGAAUUAUAAUUAGCGGAGACAUGGUUUACAAAGAGGAGAAAAACC
Molecule: long non-coding RNA, 270 nt
Filed under: Stegodyphus dumicola
Lineage: Eukaryota; Metazoa; Arthropoda; Arachnida; Araneae; Eresidae
Description: uncharacterized LOC118198961, transcript variant X2
Source: RNAcentral